Molecule: unclassified non-coding RNA, 375 nt
Filed under: soil metagenome
Description: partial contains 5.8S ribosomal RNA, internal transcribed spacer 2, and large subunit ribosomal RNA
Rfam family: 5.8S ribosomal RNA (bases 1-119)
Source: RNAcentral
GAUGAAGAACGCAGCGAAAUGCGAUAAGUAAUGUGAAUUGCAGAAUUCAGUGAAUCAUCGAAUCUUGAACGCAUCUUGCGCUCCUUGGUAUUCUGAGGAGCAUGCCUGUUUGAGUGUCAUUAAAUUCUCAACUACACUGACUUUGAAUUGGUGUGGCUUGGAUUUGGGGGGAAAAUUGUUGUGGGCUUUUUGUAUAGUCUGCUCCCCUGAAAUUGAUUAGCGGUACCUUUGUGGAACUGUCUACAGGUGUGAUAAUUAUCUACAUCUUAGACAUCUGCUGGAAUGCUGCUUUCUAAACCUUACUUGUAUUGACAAUCUUGACCUCAAAUCAGGUAGGACUACCCGCUGAACUUAAGCAUAUCAAUAAGCGGAGGA